RNAcentral lists this unclassified non-coding RNA (347 nucleotides) under soil metagenome. RNAcentral describes it as "partial contains 5.8S ribosomal RNA, internal transcribed spacer 2, and large subunit ribosomal RNA". The stretch from base 1 to 119 matches the Rfam family "5.8S ribosomal RNA", at positions 35 to 154 of the family's 154-position model. The record is from RNAcentral.
GAUGAAGAACGUAGCGAAAUGCGAUACGUAAUGUGAAUUGCAAAUUCAGUGAAUCAUCGAGUCUUUGAACGCACAUUGCGCCCCCUGGUAUUCCGGGGGGCAUGCCUGUCCGAGCGUCAUUGCUGCCCUCAAGCACGGCUUGUGUGUUGGGCCCCGCCCCCCGGCUCCCGGGGGGCGGGCCCGAAAGGCAGCGGCGGCACCGCGUCCGGUCCUCGAGCGUAUGGGGCUUCGUCACCCGCUCCGUAGGCCCGGCCGGCGCCCGCCGGCGACCCCCCUCAAUCUUUUCAGGUUGACCUCGGAUCAGGUAGGGAUACCCGCUGAACUUAAGCAUAUCAAUAAGCGGAGGA